Molecule: transfer RNA, 76 nt
Filed under: Marmota monax (woodchuck)
Lineage: Eukaryota; Metazoa; Chordata; Mammalia; Rodentia; Sciuridae
Description: tRNA.Ala
Rfam family: tRNA (bases 6-66)
About the family: Transfer RNA (tRNA) molecules are approximately 80 nucleotides in length. Their secondary structure includes four short double-helical elements and three loops (D, anti-codon, and T loops).
Source: RNAcentral
UUCAUUGUGGCUCAGUGGUUGAGCACUUGCCUCGCAUGCAUGAGGCACUGGGAUCGAUCCUCAGCACCACAUAAAA